ACGGGUGAGUAACACGUGGGUGAUCUGCCCUGCACUUCGGGAUAAGCCUGGGAAACUGGGUCUAAUACCGGAUAUGACCUCCUAUCGCAUGGUGGGUGGUGGAAAGAUUUAUCGGUGCAGGAUGGGCCCGCGGCCUAUCAGCUUGUUGGUGGGGUAAUGGCCUACCAAGGCGACGACGGGUAGCCGACCUGAGAGGGUGACCGGCCACACUGGGACUGAGACACGGCCCAGACUCCUACGGGAGGCAGCAGUGGGGAAUAUUGCACAAUGGGCGAAAGCCUGAUGCAGCGACGCCGCGUGAGGGAUGACGGCCUUCGGGUUGUAAACCUCUUUCAGCAGGGACGAAGCGCAAGUGACGGUACCUGCAGAAGAAGCACCGGCUAACUACGUGCCGGCAGCCGCGGUAAUACGUAGGGUGCAAGCGUUGUCCGGAAUUACUGGGCGUAAAGAGUUCGUAGGCGGUUUGUCGCGUCGUUUGUGAAAACCAGCAGCUCAACUGCUGGCUUGCAGGCGAUACGGGCAGACUUGAGUACUGCAGGGGAGACUGGAAUUCCUGGUGUAGCGGUGAAAUGCGCAGA
This 578-nucleotide ribosomal RNA is filed under the name uncultured bacterium. RNAcentral describes it as "bacterial SSU rRNA". It matches the Rfam family "Bacterial small subunit ribosomal RNA", at positions 102 to 694 of the family's 1533-position model. The record is from RNAcentral.